This 323-nucleotide unclassified non-coding RNA is filed under the name Mycobacterium tuberculosis variant bovis. Its description in RNAcentral is "partial tmRNA". Lineage: Bacteria; Bacillati; Actinomycetota; Actinomycetes; Mycobacteriales; Mycobacteriaceae. The record is from RNAcentral.
CGCGCACUGAAUCAAGGGAAGCGUGCCGGUGCAGGCAAGAGACCACCGUAAGCGUCGUUGCGACCAAAUAAGCGCCGAUUCACAUCAGCGCGACUACGCUCUCGCUGCCUAAGCGACGGCUAGUCUGUCAGACCGGGAACGCCCUCGGCCCGGACCCUGGCAUCAGCUAGAGGGAUCCACCGAUGAGUCCGGUCGCGGGACUCCUCGGGACAACCACAGCGACUGGGAUCGUCAUCUCGGCUAGUUCGCGUGACCGGGAGAUCCGAGCAGAGGCAUAGCGAACUGCGCACGGAGAAGCCUUGAGGGAAUGCCGUAGGACCCGG